GUGACAGGAGCUAGUUUGUAUAGUUUCCCUCUACACACUGUUAGGAACCUCUGCCAUCUGUGGCCAUUGUUACAAAGUAUAGUACAGAGCCACACACCAUGCUUUCUCUACUUCCAAUUUCUCAGCAGAACUCGACCUAGACUUCAGGCAGUCAUCACCUGGCAGACUUCCCCUUCCUCUCAUGGGAAGAGAGCAAAUGAAGCCCUGAGCAAAUGCUGUAUGAAUGAGAAGGUAACAUGCUUAUCACAAGAGGAGGAAGAUGUAGUUAACUUGCCUCUCAAUCAGGAUCAAACAGCAACCCUUUAUUAGAAUUUUGGCAGAGCCCCACUGCAGUCUUUUCAAUGCAGGCUUCAAAUAAUUUUACACUUUGGGAAACUGCCCCAGCCCAGUGGAUUAUGUGA
RNAcentral lists this long non-coding RNA (401 nucleotides) under Sus scrofa (pig). RNAcentral's name for it is "lncRNA (ENSSSCG00030073350.1, ENSSSCG00035068067.1)". Lineage: Eukaryota; Metazoa; Chordata; Mammalia; Artiodactyla; Suidae. The record is from RNAcentral.